Long non-coding RNA from Sorex fumeus (smoky shrew), 275 nucleotides. RefSeq lists it as uncharacterized. The record is from RefSeq and is a predicted model, not a curated record. NCBI's taxonomy places the organism in Eukaryota, Metazoa, Chordata, Mammalia, Eulipotyphla, Soricidae. The transcript has 3 exons.
UCCUUGCUCAGGGGAGAAAAUGCCUCUGCCAAGUCCUUGCAUUCAGUUGUUUAGUCCCUGGAAUCUGACAAGGUGAAGCUGGAGCUCAAGGUCAAAAUCUUGGAGCUUCAACUCAAAGAGAACAAAAGGCAGCUCCAGAGCUGGGCAGGUAAUUCUGAUUCUCAAGCAGAUGAGGAUGAAAGGGCCCAGGAGAAUCAGAUUGAUUUCCUGAAUUCCGUGAUUGUGGACCUCCAAAGAAAGAAUCAGGACCUCAACAUGAAAGUGGAGAUGAUAUC